Molecule: ribosomal RNA, 550 nt
Filed under: uncultured bacterium
Lineage: Bacteria
Description: partial 16S ribosomal RNA
Rfam family: Bacterial small subunit ribosomal RNA
Source: RNAcentral
UGGGGAAUUUUGGACAAUGGGCGCAAGCCUGAUCCAGCCAUGCCGCGUGCGGGAAGAAGGCCUUCGGGUUGUAAACCGCUUUUGUCAGGGAAGAAAUCUUCUGAGUUAAUACCUCGGGAGGAUGACGGUACCUGAAGAAUAAGCACCGGCUAACUACGUGCCAGCAGCCGCGGUAAUACGUAGGGUGCAAGCGUUAAUCGGAAUUACUGGGCGUAAAGCGUGCGCAGGCGGUUUUGUAAGACAGAGGUGAAAUCCCCGGGCUCAACCUGGGAACUGCCUUUGUGACUGCAAGGCUUGAGUGCGGCAGAGGGGGGAUGGAAUUCCGCGUGUAGCAGUGAAAUGCGUAGAUAUGCGGAGGAACACCGAUGGCGAAGGCAAUCCCCUGGGCCUGCACUGACGCUCAUGCACGAAAGCGUGGGGAGCAAACAGGAUUAGAUAGCCCUGGUAGUCCACGCCCUAAACGGAUGUCAACUGGUUGUUGGGAAGGUUCCUUCUCAGUAACGUAGCUAACGCGUGAAGUUGACCGCCUGGGGAGUACGGCCGCAAGGUU